GUUUUAAUAGUUUAAUAAAAACAUUGGUCUUGUAAACCAAAAAUAAGGCUAUGUCUUUUAAAACU
Molecule: transfer RNA, 65 nt
Filed under: Bactrocera limbifera
Lineage: Eukaryota; Metazoa; Arthropoda; Insecta; Diptera; Tephritidae
Description: tRNA-Thr
Rfam family: tRNA
About the family: Transfer RNA (tRNA) molecules are approximately 80 nucleotides in length. Their secondary structure includes four short double-helical elements and three loops (D, anti-codon, and T loops).
Source: RNAcentral